This 292-nucleotide ribosomal RNA is filed under the name uncultured bacterium. RNAcentral's name for it is "partial 16S ribosomal RNA". It matches the Rfam family "Bacterial small subunit ribosomal RNA", at positions 505 to 796 of the family's 1533-position model. The record is from RNAcentral.
GUGCCAGCCGCCGCGGUAAUACGGAGGGGGUUAGCGUUGUUCGGAAUUACUGGGCGUAAAGCGCACGUAGGCGGAUUGGAAAGUUGGGGGUGAAAUCCCGGGGCUCAACCUCGGAACUGCCUCCAAAACUAUCAGUCUGGAGUUCGAGAGAGGUGAGUGGAAUUCCGAGUGUAGAGGUGAAAUUCGUAGAUAUUCGGAAGAACACCAGUGGCGAAGGCGGCUCACUGGCUCGAUACUGACGCUGAGGUGCGAAAGUGUGGGUAGCAAACAGGAUUAGAAACCCGAGUAGUCC